ACGGGAGGCAGCAGUGAGGAAUAUUGGUCAAUGGGCGGAAGCCUGAACCAGCCAAGUCGCGUGAAGGAUGAAGGUAUUAUGUAUUGUAAACUUCUUUAGACGUAGAGAAAUAAGGAGGUCGUGACCUCUGAUGCUAGUAUACGUAGAAUAAGGAUCGGCUAACUCCGUGCCAGCAGCCGCGGUAAUACGGAGGAUCCGAGCGUUAUCCGGAUUUAUUGGGUUUAAAGGGUGCGCAGGCGGUCUCUUAAGUCAGUGGUCAAAUCGUGGUGCUCAACGCCAUCCCGCCAUUGAUACUGGGAGACUUGAUUUCGGUCGAGGUAGGCGGAAUUCGUCGUGUAGCGGUGAAAUGCAUAGAUAUGACGAAGAACCCCGAUUGCGUAGGCAGCUUACCAGCCCGACAAUGACGCUCAUGCACGAAAGUGCGGGGAUCGAACAGGAUUAGAUACCCUGGUA
Molecule: ribosomal RNA, 453 nt
Filed under: uncultured Porphyromonadaceae bacterium
Lineage: Bacteria; Pseudomonadati; Bacteroidota; Bacteroidia; Bacteroidales; Porphyromonadaceae
Description: partial 16S ribosomal RNA
Rfam family: Bacterial small subunit ribosomal RNA
Source: RNAcentral